AUGAGUAAGGAGGUCAGAAGCUGGUGGGGACCAGAAUCAUGUCUAGAUGCAGCUUGAGGAAACGGAAACGGUACAGGACUGAGGCUGUGAAUUGAAUGAUAAGAAGGGCCUCCCCCACCCCCAGAAGAGAGGAAAUUCCACAGCUCUGAUGUGAUGAGAAACGUGAUCUGCGCGCCCAGCCCUCCCGCCGGCCUCCCUCCCCGCCGGCUCCCAACCUGGGCGUCCCGGCCCCUCUCCCGAGCCUCCCGCCCCCUCCCCACCCCCUGCCCCUCUCCCUCUGCGUUUUACACUGUGUAACCCGAUAGGCUGGAAAUGUCGCUUCUUUCAUCUUCCAUUUCCCACAUCCUGAAAGUUUGGAGAGGAGAAGCCCACCCAGAUAAAGGAAUUCCAAGUAUGUGA
Long non-coding RNA from Marmota flaviventris (yellow-bellied marmot), 399 nucleotides. RefSeq lists it as uncharacterized. NCBI's taxonomy places the organism in Eukaryota, Metazoa, Chordata, Mammalia, Rodentia, Sciuridae. The record is from RefSeq and is a predicted model, not a curated record.